AGGGGUUCUCAGGUGACACACCCCAGAAUCAGGCUCCCUCCUCUCUAGUUCUGGGUGCAUCAACAGAGAACCGCA
Non-coding RNA from Myotis lucifugus (little brown bat), 75 nucleotides. Lineage: Eukaryota; Metazoa; Chordata; Mammalia; Chiroptera; Vespertilionidae. The record is from Rfam.